This 397-nucleotide ribosomal RNA is filed under the name Paraburkholderia sp. Its description in RNAcentral is "bacterial SSU rRNA". It matches the Rfam family "Bacterial small subunit ribosomal RNA", at positions 637 to 1032 of the family's 1533-position model. The record is from RNAcentral. Lineage: Bacteria; Pseudomonadati; Pseudomonadota; Betaproteobacteria; Burkholderiales; Burkholderiaceae.
CGGGCUAGAGUAUGGCAGAGGGGGGUAGAAUUCCACGUGUAGCAGUGAAAUGCGUAGAGAUGUGGAGGAAUACCGAUGGCGAAGGCAGCCCCCUGGGCCAAUACUGACGCUCAUGCACGAAAGCGUGGGGAGCAAACAGGAUUAGAUACCCUGGUAGUCCACGCCCUAAACGAUGUCAACUAGUUGUCGGGUCUUCAUUGACUUGGUAACGUAGCUAACGCGUGAAGUUGACCGCCUGGGGAGUACGGUCGCAAGAUUAAAACUCAAAGGAAUUGACGGGGACCCGCACAAGCGGUGGAUGAUGUGGAUUAAUUCGAUGCAACGCGAAAAACCUUACCUACCCUUGACAUGUAUGGAAUCCUGCUGAGAGGUGGGAGUGCCCGAAAGGGAGCCAUAA